RNAcentral lists this ribosomal RNA (433 nucleotides) under uncultured bacterium. Its description in RNAcentral is "partial 16S ribosomal RNA". It matches the Rfam family "Bacterial small subunit ribosomal RNA", at positions 29 to 507 of the family's 1533-position model. The record is from RNAcentral.
AACGAACGCUGGCGGCAUGCCUAACACAUGCAAGCCGAACGAGACCUUCGGGUCUAGUGGCGCACGUGUGCGUAACGCGUGGGAACCUGCCCUUAGGUUCGGAAUAACUCCCCGAAAGGGGUGCUAAUACCGGAUAAUGUCUUCGGACCAAAGAUUUAUCGCCUUUGGAUGGGCCCGCGUUGGAUUAGCUAGUUGGUAGGGUAAAAGCCUACCAAGGCGACGAUCCAUAGCUGGUCUGAGAGGAUGAUCAGCCACACUGGGACUGAGACACGGCCCAGACUCCUACGGGAGGCAGCAGUGGGGAAUAUUGGACAAUGGGCGAAAGCCUGAUCCAGCAAUGCCGCGUGAGUGAUGAAGGCCUUAGGGUUGUAAAGCUCUUUUACCCGGGAUGAUAAUGACAGUACCGGGAGAAUAAGCUCCGGCUAACUCCGUG